AGUGUACUCCCUCCGUCCGGAAAAGCUUGUCCCAUGCUUGUUCCUCAAAUGGAUGUAUCUAGCACUAACUUGGUGCUAGAUACAUCCAUUUGAGGGACAAGCUUUUUCGGACGGAGGGAGUAUAUU
Triticum aestivum (bread wheat) is the source of this 126-nucleotide non-coding RNA. Lineage: Eukaryota; Viridiplantae; Streptophyta; Magnoliopsida; Poales; Poaceae. The record is from Rfam.